GGAGUUAGCCGGUGCUUCUUCUGUGAGUGAUGUCCUUCCUGCCGGCUAUUAACCCGCAGGCCUUCUUCCUCACUGAAAGUGCUUUACAACCCGAAGGCCUUCUUCACACACGCGGCAUGGCUGGAUCAGGGUUGCCCCCAUUGUCCAAUAUUCCCCACUGCUGCCUCCCGUAGGAGUCUGGGCCGUGUCUCAGUCCCAGUGUGGCUGAUCAUCCUCUCAGACCAGCUACGGAUCGUCGCCUUGGUGAGCCGUUACCUCACCAACCAGCUAAUCCGACAUAGGCUCAUCCGAUAGCGCGAGGCCCGAAGGUCCCCCGCUUUCCCCCGUAGGGCGUAUGCGGUAUUAGCCUGGGUUUCCCCAGGUUAUCCCCCACUACCGGGCAGAUUCCUAUGCAUUACUCACCCGUCCGCCGCUCGCCACCAGGGAGCAAGCUCCCCGUGCUGCCGCUCGACUUGCAUGUGUUAGGCUCGCCGCCACGCGUUCAUCUGAGCCAGAAUACAACUACUGA
Molecule: ribosomal RNA, 508 nt
Filed under: uncultured bacterium
Lineage: Bacteria
Description: partial 16S ribosomal RNA
Source: RNAcentral